CAGUAGCCGCGGGAAUACGGAGGAUCCAAGCGUUAUCCGGAAUCAUUGGGUUUAAAGGGUCCGUAGGCGGUUUAGUAAGUCAGUGGUGAAAGCCCAUCGCUCAACGGUGGAACGGCCAUUGAUACUGCUGAACUUGAAUUAUUAGGAAGUAACUAGAAUAUGUAGUGUAGCGGUGAAAUGCUUAGAGAUUGCACGGAAUACCAAUUGCGAAGGCAGGUUACUACUAAUUGAUUGACGCUGAUGGACGAAAGCGUGGGGAGCGAACAGGAUUAGAUACCCGUGUAGUCCCUGUCUCUUAUAC
This 301-nucleotide ribosomal RNA is filed under the name uncultured bacterium. RNAcentral describes it as "partial 16S ribosomal RNA". It matches the Rfam family "Bacterial small subunit ribosomal RNA", at positions 509 to 807 of the family's 1533-position model. The record is from RNAcentral.